Molecule: RNA transcript, 2377 nt
Organism: Panicum hallii
Lineage: Eukaryota; Viridiplantae; Streptophyta; Magnoliopsida; Poales; Poaceae
Gene name: MACPF domain-containing protein CAD1
Exons: 7
Source: RefSeq, a predicted model, not a curated record
UCCGGUCCUCCCCAGAAACCGUGUCCUCUCUCUCUCUCUCUCUCUCUCUCUCUCUUCUCGAUCAACAGCAACAGCGGCGGUCAGAAGCUUCCGUCGCGACAGCUCCCGACCUCCUGCCGGUCUCCCCCGUCCGGUACUCCGCGCGAAUCCCGAGGCGGCGGCGGCGGCGGAGGAGGAGUAGGAGCGGAGGGGGGCGGGCCCAUCAGCUAUGAGCCUCGCGGGCUCCGCCCUGGAGGCGGCGGUGCAGGCGGUGGGGCGCGGCCUCGACGCCGCUGGCGACCACCGCCUGCUCUACUGCAAGGGCGCCGGGAGGCUCGUGGCGCUCGACGAGGACCGCGCACGGGACAUCCCCCUUAGAAGCGGCGGCGUCCUCUCCAGCGUGCCCCGCGACGUCGCGGUCGAGCAGUGGUCCAGCGACCCCCUGCGAAUCCGGCCGCCCGUCCCCCACGGCGUGCCCCCCGCAGCCCUGGACGAGCCCUUCGUUUGCAGCUUCCAGCAGAUGGCUGAGUAUUUCAACAGGAAGUCAGGCUUGUUGGAGACUGUACCGCUGGGUUCCUUCAACUCACUGUUCAGCUUCACCGGUUCAUGGAAGAAUGAUGCUGCGGCUACGAAGGCCCUUGCGAUUGAUGGCUAUUCUCUGCCACUGUUUCGAGCGAUAAUUAAGAGUGACGAACUGACUCUGCUUGAGAGCGUUAAGCGCGCGAUUCCAAAUGUUUGGGAUCCAUCAGCAUUGGCUAGCUUUAUUGAGAAUUACGGAACACAUAUUAUUACCUCUGUUACGGUUGGUGGUAAGGAUGAGGUAUACAUUAAGCAGCAUUCAUCGUCCCAGUUGUCAGAGCUGGAAUUCAAAAAUUAUGUGAGGGAAAUUGGGAGGGAAAGAUUCUCAGAAGUGGAAAAUAAGUCAAAUGCAACUCCCAUCAAUUACAGCGAGAAGGAUAUGACCGUAAUAUUCAGAAGGAGGGGUGGUUGUGAUCUUGUUCAAAGUUUCAGUGAUUGGAAAGGAACUGUUGCCUCAGCACCAGAUGUCAUAGCCAUGACCUUUCUCUCAAUUGUCUCUCUUGUUGAUGAUAUACCAGGGAAAAAGCACCUUGCUCGUGCAGUUGAGCUAUACUUGACAUACAAACCUCCAAUUGAAGAAUUGCAGUACUUCUUAGAUUUUCAAGUCCCACUAGUUUGGGCUCCAGCUCCACCAGGUAUUGCUGGUCACCAUAGGAAGGAACCUGUCUGCCCAUCGCUUCAGUUUAGCUUGAUGGGCCCAAAGCUCUUCAUUAGCACAGAACAGAUAUCUGUUGGGCGUCGACCGGUUGUUGGCCUCAAACUGCUCUUGGAAGGAGCAAAACAGAACCGUCUGGCUAUUCAUUUGCAGCACCUUGGCUCAUUACCGAAAAUAUUCCUACCUCACUGGGAUUCCCAUAUUACCAUUGGACCUCCGAAAUGGCAAGGCCCUGAAGAGCAGGACAGCCGAUGGUUUGAGACAAUCAAAUGGAAGAACUUCGCUCAUGUCAGCACGGCGCCCAUAGAGUACACUGAAACAAAUAUUACAGAUCUAUCUGGUGUUUAUAUUGUUACAGGAGCACAGUUGGGAGUGUGGGAUUUUGGUGCAAAGAGCGUUCUCCACCUUAAACUCUUGUUCUCCCGAGUUCCUGGGUGCACAAUUAGAAGAUCAGUGUGGGACCACAACCCAUCAAGUUCUUCGACUCAGAGAACAGAUGAAUCUUCAUCAUCCUCUAGUGAUAAUGCUAAACUUGUGAAGAUCGUUGACAUGACCGAGACAUUGAAAGGCCCACAAGAUGCGCCUGGCCACUGGCUGGUCACAGGAGCUAAGCUGGGUGUCGAGAAGGGCAGGAUUGUUGUGCGCGCGAAAUACUCCUUAUUGAAUUAUUAACCACAUGUUGAAAGCAUUCAUUCACUUACUCUCCUAUGGAGUACUGUGUUUAAAGAUAGCAUUUGUUCUUUUUGUUUUUCAUGUAUGGCUUUCCUUUCUCUUGUAACUUGAUGUGGAUUCAUGCUUCUGCUUGUUGAUGCCAUGAGUCAAGUAGCAUGAAGAUGUUUAUGCUGAGUUCAAAUGUGUUUGAUCUGGCCUCAGACAUCUCUUCCACAGCCAUCCGAUCGUGGCAUUGGAAUUGAUGCGUUCCAUUUACGAUUCAUGUUCUAGCACAGAUCUUCUUGACGGUAGUGGAUGUGGUUAUUGCAGAUUGGUUGCACAGAUUGCAGAUUGAUGUGAGCAAUCAUACAUUCAGACUGCCUCUGUGGGCCAUGGAAUACUGCGCCUCAUUUUGUAACAUGCAACAUGUAUGCUUCCUGAAAUUCAUGUUUACACUUUUGUGCUCUAGUGUUAGCAAACUUGGAGUUUGCCAACAUGUUAUGUUGUUGUGUU